RNAcentral lists this ribosomal RNA (772 nucleotides) under uncultured Neocallimastigales. Its description in RNAcentral is "partial large subunit ribosomal RNA". It matches the Rfam family "Eukaryotic large subunit ribosomal RNA", at positions 24 to 644 of the family's 3401-position model. The record is from RNAcentral. Lineage: Eukaryota; Fungi; Neocallimastigomycota; Neocallimastigomycetes; Neocallimastigales.
CACGCAUGACACACUGCAUAUCAAUAAGCGGAGGAAAAGAAACUAACGAGGAUUCCCUUAGUAACGGCGAGUGAAGCGGGAAGAGCUCAAAUUUGAAAUCUUCAAGGUUCUACCUUGACGAAUUGUAGUUUAUAGAAGUGUUUUUGUUAGUAGAGUGGCAAAAGUUCUUUGGAAUAGGACAUCAUAGAGGGUGAGAAUCCCGUAUUUGGUCAUUCUUUCUAGCUUUGUGAUACACUUUCAACGAGUCGGAUUGUUUGGGAAUGCAGUCCAAAAUGGGUGGUAAAUUUCAUCUAAAGCUAAAUAUUGGCGAGAGACCGAUAGCGAACAAGUACCGUGAGGGAAAGAUGAAAAGAACUUUGAAAAGAGAGUUAAACAGUACGUGAAAUUGUCAAAAGGGAAGCGUUUGACACCAGUGUUGUUUUUCCGAAAAUCAAUUACGAAUGUUUUGUUUUUGAGAAGUUAUGACUUCAUCGGCUUGCUCUCUUCUUUACGAAACUUUCUUAAUGCACUUUUCGGUUAACAAGUCAACAUCAAUUUCUUUUGUUGUAAAAGGGUAUGAGGAAGGUGGCUUUCUUUUCGGAGAAAGUGUUUAUAGCCUUGUACCUCUGCAAUCGGAGAGAUUGAGGUCUGCAGCGUAGAUCCUUCGGGGUUAGAUACAUUUGCGCUAAGUUAUAGCUUUUCAUAGACAACUUGUUGACUAUGUUAAGUCUUGUAGCUUACUCGCUGACGCUAUUUUACCUACGCUUAGGAUGUUGACUGAUAUGUAGUCGUA